This 497-nucleotide ribosomal RNA is filed under the name Priestia aryabhattai. RNAcentral describes it as "bacterial SSU rRNA". It matches the Rfam family "Bacterial small subunit ribosomal RNA", at positions 27 to 505 of the family's 1533-position model. Lineage: Bacteria; Bacillati; Bacillota; Bacilli; Caryophanales; Bacillaceae. The record is from RNAcentral.
GGAAUGAACGCUGGCGGCGUGCCUAAUACAUGCAAGUCGAGCGACUGAUUAGAAGCUUGCUUCUAUGACGUUAGCGGCGGACGGGUGAGUAACACGUGGGCAACCUGCCUGUAAGACUGGGAUAACUUCGGGAAACCGAAGCUAAUACCGGAUAGGAUCUUCUCCUUCAUGGGAGAUGAUUGAAAGAUGGUUUCGGCUAUCACUUACAGAUGGGCCCGCGGUGCAUUAGCUAGUUGGUGAGGUAACGGCUCACCAAGGCAACGAUGCAUAGCCGACCUGAGAGGGUGAUCGGCCACACUGGGACUGAGACACGGCCCAGACUCCUACGGGAGGCAGCAGUAGGGAAUCUUCCGCAAUGGACGAAAGUCUGACGGAGCAACGCCGCGUGAGUGAUGAAGGCUUUCGGGUCGUAAAACUCUGUUGUUAGGGAAGAACAAGUACAAGAGUAACUGCUUGUACCUUGACGGUACCUAACCAGAAAGCCACGGCUAACUACG